RNAcentral lists this ribosomal RNA (403 nucleotides) under uncultured bacterium. Its description in RNAcentral is "bacterial SSU rRNA". It matches the Rfam family "Bacterial small subunit ribosomal RNA", at positions 917 to 1322 of the family's 1533-position model. The record is from RNAcentral.
GGGCCCGCACAAGCGGUGGAGCAUGUGGUUUAAUUCGAUGAUACGCGAGGAACCUUACCAGGGCUUAAAUGUAGUAUGACCGGUCUGGAAACAGGCCUUCCCUUCGGGGCAGAUUACAAGGUGCUGCAUGGUUGUCGUCAGCUCGUGCCGUGAGGUGUUAGGUUAAGUCCUGCAACGAGCGCAACCCCUAUUCUUAGUUGCCAGCGGUUCGGCCGGGGACUCUAAGAAGACUGCCAGCGCAAGCUGAGAGGAAGGUGGGGAUGACGUCAAAUCAUCACGGCCCUUACGUCCUGGGCUACACACGUGCUACAAUGGUAGAGACAGAGGGCAGCCACCUGGCGACAGGGAGCGAAUCCUUAAACUCUAUCUCAGUUCGGAUCGGAGUCUGCAACUCGACUCCGUG